AUAAACGCUGGCGGCGCACAUCAGCCCUGCCGGUUGAACGGACUUAAUCGAAAUAUUUAUAUUUUGAAGCGGUUAGUGGCGGACUGGUGAGUAACGCGUAAGGAACCUGCCUAUUAGAGGGGAAUAACAGUGAGAAAUCAUUGCUAAUACCGCAUAUGCCAUAGAUAUCACAUGAUAACAGUGGGAAAGGAGCAAUCCGCUAAUAGAUGGCCUUGCGUCUGAUUAGAUAGUUGGUGGGGUAACGGCCUACCAAGUCGACGAUCAGUAGCCGGACUGAGAGGUUGAGCGGCCACAUUGGGACUGAGGUACGGCCCAGAAUCCUACGGGAAGGAGCAGUCGGGAAUAUUACGCAAUGGAGGUAACUCUGACGCAGUGACGCCGCGUAUAGGAAGAAGGUUUUCGAAUUGUAAACUAUUGUCGUUAGGGAAGAGAAAGGACGGUACCUAAGGAGGAAGCUCCGGCUAACUACGUG
RNAcentral lists this ribosomal RNA (472 nucleotides) under uncultured bacterium. RNAcentral describes it as "partial 16S ribosomal RNA". It matches the Rfam family "Bacterial small subunit ribosomal RNA", at positions 29 to 507 of the family's 1533-position model. The record is from RNAcentral.